CAAGUCGAACGAGGCAAAUAAGAUGAAGUUUUCGGAUGGAUUCUUAUUUACCGAGUGGCGGACGGGUGAGUAACGCGUGGGUAACCUGCCUCAUACAGGGGGAUAACGGUUAGAAAUGACUGCUAAUACCGCAUAAGCGCACAGUACCGCAUGGUACGGUGUGAAAAACUCCGGUGGUAUGAGAUGGACCCGCGUCUGAUUAGCUAGUUGGUGAGGUAACGGCCCACCAAGGCGACGAUCAGUAGCCGACCCGAGAGGGUGACCGGCCACAUUGGGACUGAGACACGGCCCAGACUCCUACGGGAGGCAGCAGUGGGGGAUAUUGCACAAUGGAGGAAACUCUGAUGCAGCGACGCCGCGUGAGUGAAGAAGUAUUUCGGUAUGUAAAGCUCUAUCAGCAGGGAAGAAAA
Molecule: ribosomal RNA, 410 nt
Filed under: uncultured bacterium
Lineage: Bacteria
Description: bacterial SSU rRNA
Rfam family: Bacterial small subunit ribosomal RNA
Source: RNAcentral